AGCCGGGGAGCCGCGCGGGACCGGGGCCGGCCGGGCCCAGGGCGCUCCCGCCGGGGGCUGAGGGCCUCCGUGCACCGGUUCUGUUUAUCAGCCAAACCGGAGCCCACCUUUGGACCCGCGAAGCCAGGCGUUUGCAGCCCGGCAUGGAAGGCUCCGUCCGGGCUUUCCCACCGGCCACCGGCCGCGGGCCCGGCUCCAGGCCGGAGAGAAGAAAACUGCGCUGCAGGGGCCCAGCUCCGGGGCAGAGCGGCUCCUGGGGGCGAGGCCGCACCUGCAGCGCAGGCAGGAGGCACGCGUGGAGAUGGCGUCCAAGAGGGAAAUACGUUCUGUUUUGUUUUGUUUUGUUUUUUGUUUUCUCCACCUCGGUCUGGGCCAGGUAAGAGGCCUGGAGUCCUUGGGCGCCAUAGACAUUUCACCGGCAUCUCCCAGGGGUGUGGACAGGGCAGGGAGGAGGCCCAAGAGCACCCCACUAAGACAAUGCAGAAAAAAGAGGGGAACGGUUUUUUUUAGGAUCCAACUCAUCACAGACCCAUAGUUUCUGGGGCAGAGAACAUCCCUUUCCCCUCUUUAAGCCUCAGUUUUACCUGUGAAAUACUGGAACCUGCAGUGCAGGGGUGAGGGGGGCUUGUGUGCAUUGAGGAGACUUCCCGGAAAACCCUGGAGCCAGAUAAUGCUUGGCAGUCCGGGGAGGCUGGAAGCCAGUUCCCAGUAGUCAAACCUAGCCCCUCUGGAGGCUUAGGGUUCUCAAAGUCCAGCAGACCCAGCGCUGGGGUUGGAGGGACUAAGAGACUAGGGACAAAAAUUCAGACCCCUCCAGGAAUUGGCAAAGGUGCUUCUCAGCAAACUCUCCUACCUUUCCCACUUUUAACAAGGUAAUUAGGAGGAAGUUGGGGUUAGUUUCAGGAAGAAAAGAAUUUCGAUGUGGGGGAGGAAAGGUCAACAGCUCUCCAUAUGCUAAAUUGAGUCAAAUCUAGGUGCGAGAAGGCGGGUCCUCCCAGUGUCACUGAUCCAAGCCAGGCUGCUGAGGACCAAGGCUGCCACUUUCCGAUACAGAAUCUGCGGCACGAGUGCUGGGAGCCAAACAGCAGAAGGGCGACUGUGUGCCUGGAGCCCUGGGGGAAGUCUGCACUACCUCAGACGCUCCCUGAGAAAGGGGAAGGCAGUGAGUUCAUGGAAUUGAGGUUCCUUCAUUUCACCUUAUUGUCUUCUGGUUUGUUGUGACAUAUGGGAGGCCCUCCCCCUCACAAUUGGGCCCCCUGGGAGAACAUUCUCUGCCUACCCAGCUCCCCUCAGCAAAGAUAAUGAAGUGUUCAGAGUCAAUGUCCCUGGAGAACA
Pipistrellus kuhlii (Kuhl's pipistrelle) is the source of this 1335-nucleotide long non-coding RNA. RefSeq lists it as uncharacterized. NCBI's taxonomy places the organism in Eukaryota, Metazoa, Chordata, Mammalia, Chiroptera, Vespertilionidae. The record is from RefSeq and is a predicted model, not a curated record. The transcript has 2 exons.